CCAUGAUGUGGAUGUCAUUCAAGCUGAACCAAACGUAAACAAAGAUGGCUCUCAUCUGUGCGUGAAGAUUAUUCGUCGUUCCGAAAAAUAGUUCCUUUUGCGUUCUCAACAACUAAUUCUAGCUAGGAUUCCAAAAAAGAUAGCCGAGAGCGAACGUUCAAAGGUGAAUCCAAAUCAGCUGAUGCCGGGGAAGUUGUGUGCUGCCGCACAACACUGAAGCGUGAAAUACUCCCUGGCUGCAAUGGAAUCUGACCGGCUGGUGCUGUAUCAAAUAUAUCUGAUCUUGUGAUUUCUUAAUGAUUUAAGUGUGGAAACCAAAAAACUCAAUAAAACGACGGAAAACAUGUUC
This is a long non-coding RNA of Aedes albopictus (Asian tiger mosquito), 349 nucleotides long. RefSeq lists it as uncharacterized. The transcript has 2 exons. The record is from RefSeq and is a predicted model, not a curated record. Lineage: Eukaryota; Metazoa; Arthropoda; Insecta; Diptera; Culicidae.